Molecule: non-coding RNA, 28 nt
Filed under: Cricetulus griseus (Chinese hamster)
Lineage: Eukaryota; Metazoa; Chordata; Mammalia; Rodentia; Cricetidae
Source: RNAcentral
UCUGAAAGAAGCCAAGUUUUCACUCAGC